This 2180-nucleotide unclassified non-coding RNA is filed under the name Hevea brasiliensis (rubber tree). The record is from RNAcentral. Lineage: Eukaryota; Viridiplantae; Streptophyta; Magnoliopsida; Malpighiales; Euphorbiaceae.
GUCUGCUCUCCUUGGGACCUUUUGGUUAGUAUUUGCAUCUGUAUGAUGUGAUUGAAUGCCAAUCACCUUUAUAUUGAGCUAUGUUAUCACAAAAUUACUUACGGCUUUUGCAUCUAUGUACUGUCAGACAGAAAUGGUUUGCACAACAGUAUUGUUGUUUUGAUAUGCAUCUCUUGAUUCUUUUCACUUUUUAAGGGCUGAAAUCUUGCAUAUAAGCAUAAUAAGAUCUUUUCAUCUCGUACCCAAACAAUAAAGUCAUAUAUUGCAAGUUGAAUAUAUGAAAGGCUGAUUGUGAUUUGUGAUGUAGUAGGUUCCCAUUCCCAAUAUCCAUUUCAAUGAUUGUUAAAGGGAGUGGAAAAGGCUAGCCUUUCGCGCCAAGAAAAAAAAAUAUUUAUCUGUGUUUCCUUCCCUUGGUCUCCUACACAAAAAUGCAUGAGCAUGAUGAAAAAUGUAUAAGUUGGUAAGAUGAUUUGGCUUAGUUGUGGCUGUGAGCUCAAGCUUAGCAAUGUCAAAAACAAGGUUGAGCUUAAAGCAAUGCAUCGCAAGUAGCAUUCUAGGCAACUCACUAACAAUGCCUGAGCCUGAUUGGCCUGGAAUUAUGUGAAGUUGAUCUGAGCUUUGUUAUUUCUAUUUCUUAAAUUAUCAACUAAACUUAUCUUUUUAUUUUAUUUUUUUAUUAUAAUUUUAUGUGAAGAGUAUGCAUAAGAUCGUAAAACUUUAUUUUGUUCUUAUUAGGAUUAGGCUUUCCUGUCUUUCAUUCUUUUAGUUCCUAUCGGAAGUUUCCCUGAUUAGGCUCUAGUUAUCACGACACUAUCGAUUGAUUAACAAGAAUUAAGUUUUCAGAAAAUUGGUUCUGUGUUUUUCUUUAUCUUUACUUGGUUCUACAUCACUGUUUUUGGGGAGUAACUGCUGUGAAAAUGUUUAAUCAUAAGCAAUCUAGAUGAGCAAAUCAGAAACUCAGCACAUUCCUUCCUUAUUGAAAUAAUGGGACCUUUCAUUUUUUUUUUUUUUUCAGUGUUUCAUUAGAUAUAGCGAUUUACCAAGGAUUUUGGAUAUGGAGGUUUUCCGCAUCAAGUUGGGGAAAUUUUAUCACCUUGCAUUGUGAAAUGCAUAAAACCAGAAACAUGUGAUCGCAAUAAAUUAAGAAAAGUUAUUAUAUAAAUCCAGAGUCAAAAGAAAAAUAUUACAAGUGUUGAAUUUUUGAGAGACGGGACAUCUCCGCAGACCUUGGGUAGAGUGUUAUAUAGGCGCAUACGGUGCUCCAUGGUGAAGGAAACUGCUGUCAUCGCUUAACCAUAUGCUUUCCACAGGUGCAUUCCCUUGUAGGACUUUAACAAUCUGGCUCAUUCUUGGGCGAUAAUCUGCAGGUUUAUAUACACAAGAGGCAGAACAGUAAAUCAUUCUAAUUAUUUCAUCUUUAUUAUAUUUGUUUUGCAAUUCGGCAUCAAUAAUGUCAUUAUAAUCGCCUUUGUCCAAAGCUCGUUUCAGUAAAGGCACUGCCAAAAUAGACAAUCUAUUGUGAAAAAUGCCUUCAUUCUUAAUAGCUCUUUUCCCAGUAAUCAAUUCCAGAAGUAUAAUACCGAAGGAAAAGACAUCGCACUUAUCAGUAAGCUUCCUACUAUUGAUAUACUCAGGAGCCAAAUAACCCAAAGAUCCUUUUGAAUUAUAGAUAAUAGGAAUAUAAGAAUUUGAAAGCUCCUCAUUCUCUUUGGCAAAUCCAUAAUCUGAAAUCUUUGGUUCGAAGCUAUUAGUAAGAAGAAUGUUAUCCACUUUAAUAUUUCCAUGUAUGAUCUUAGGCUGACCUAAAAUACAUAUAUCACAAAAGUAAACUGAGAGUAAGUGAUCAAUUCUUUAAAAAAGAAAAAAAAGAAUCUAACUUAUUAAGUAGCUAAAUACUCACACCAUUCAUGCAAAUAUGUCAAUCCUUUUGCGACACCCAUGGCGAUUCUCAUUCUAGUUGACCAAUCCAUAGUCAUCCUGUUAUUUCCAUGCAAAUGAAAUCCCAAGGAUUUGUUGGGAACAAACUCAUAAACAACCAAUCUAUUGAAUUCUUCGAUGCAGUAUCCAAUCAGCUUGACAAGAUUUCGAUGACAGAUGUGGCUAAUGUCCAUAAUCACUUUCUCAAAUUCACUACUUUUGCUCUGCUCUUCACCUACAUGUUUAAGCUUCUUAAUUGCAAC